AACGAACGCUGGCGGCAUGCCUAACACAUGCAAGUCGAACGAGACCUUCGGGUCUAGUGGCGCACGGGUGCGUAACGCGUGGGAACCUGCCUUUAGGUUCGGAAUAACUCAGAGAAAUUUGAGCUAAUACCGGAUGAUGUCUUCGGACCAAAGAUUUAUCGCCUUUAGAUGGGCCCGCGUUGGAUUAGCUAGUUGGUGGGGUAAAGGCCUACCAAGGCGACGAUCCAUAGCUGGUCUGGGAGGAUGAUCAGCCACACUGGGACUGAGACACGGCCCAGACUCCUACGGGAGGCAGCAGUGGGGAAUAUUGGACAAUGGGCGAAAGCCUGAUCCAGCCAUGCCGCGUGAGUGAUGAAGGCCUUAGGGUUGUAAAGCUCUUUUACCCGAGAUGAUAAUGACAGUAUCGGGAAAAUAAGCUCCGGCUAACUCCGUG
RNAcentral lists this ribosomal RNA (433 nucleotides) under uncultured bacterium. Its description in RNAcentral is "partial 16S ribosomal RNA". It matches the Rfam family "Bacterial small subunit ribosomal RNA", at positions 29 to 507 of the family's 1533-position model. The record is from RNAcentral.